UCGAUUUGAUUCUGUCGUACCGCGUAAGCAGCCAAGAUGGCGAUCCCCGAUUCGUGACGUCACAUGAAGUUCGGCAAGCCGAUUGAACGAAUGAUUUCAGUACUUUUGACACUAAAUCGCUACCGCGUAAAAAAUCGAAGUUCGGCGCCUGAAGCCGAUUCCCAUUGGAAGUGUCAGUUGAAGCCGGGCACUUUUCAGUAACCGUGAUCAAUUUUAAUUUCUUAUUUUCACUGUUUUUCAACAAUAUUAGGAGCUAUUUACGGUGGGCGACAAAUUUUAGGAACAUCUUAAUCAAUAUAAAAUUGAUAUCGGCGUGGAUUUUCGUGUUUAAAUACCUAAAUACAGUGUCAUGGAGAUAGUCGUUUUAUGGGCUCCUGCGGAAGAAAAUGUCUUCAGAAUCUUGAGCAAAUCGAUUGCAGGAUACUUCGAGAGAAAAGCCAGUAUAUACUUCUCACAGAGAGUAGCUACAUUAAUAAUUUUAGAUUAUCAAAAAAUGCAUUUCGGACUUUGUAUCAUGACUUAGAACCAUAUCUGGAGGUCCAAUGCUCUACAACUGUGCAAUCGACUUUAAGUGACAAAUGCCCCCAAUCAGCCUGCAAUCGUGAGAUAAUAUAUCAAGUUUCCUCGGACAAAAACUGAGCAUGUAGAAGUCUCCAGAGGUUUUAAUGACAAAUUUGGAUUUCUUGGAGUACUUGGAUGCAUCCACGGCACACACAUUGCCAUUAUCCAACCUCACAAGUGGGAAGAGGCCUUCUUCAAUAGCAAGUAUUACCAUUCAUUGCAUGUUAUGUUGGUUUGUGAUGGAGAUAUGUGCAUUACAUUUGUGAUGCAUCCAAUGGGAGUGUUAGUGCUAGACUGCUAGCCAAGAUAACCAUAUUUGGAACAACAGCACUUCGAGAAGGGAAAAGGAACAUCUCCUUAAUUUAAAUAUGUUUAAGUUCAUUAAGUGGACUUGUGUGGUCCUUGAAAUGUAAAUUACAAAGUCAGUGUGGUGUAAUCAAAAGUGGCAGAUUUGUUAUUCAAUAAUACAACAUCUAAACAAACCUUUCUUUAUUGGCAUCAAAUAAACUAUUUUCAUUACGCAGAUUUA
This 1090-nucleotide long non-coding RNA is filed under the name Pectinophora gossypiella (pink bollworm). Its description in RNAcentral is "uncharacterized LOC126378231". The record is from RNAcentral. Lineage: Eukaryota; Metazoa; Arthropoda; Insecta; Lepidoptera; Gelechiidae.